GCUAACUACGUGCCAGCAGCCGCGGUAAUACGUAGGGCGCAAGCGUUGUCCGGAAUUAUUGGGCGUAAAGAGCUCGUAGGCGGUCUGUCGCGUCUGGUGUGAAAACCCAAGGCUCAACCUUGGGCUUGCAUCGGGUACGGGCAGACUAGAGUGCGGUAGGGGUGACUGGAAUUCCUGGUGUAGCGGUGGAAUGCGCAGAUAUCAGGAGGAACACCGAUGGCGAAGGCAGGUCACUGGGCCGCAACUGACGCUGAGGAGCGAAAGCAUGGGUAGCGAACAGGAUUAGAUACCCCUGUAGUC
This 300-nucleotide ribosomal RNA is filed under the name uncultured Sanguibacter sp. RNAcentral's name for it is "bacterial SSU rRNA". It matches the Rfam family "Bacterial small subunit ribosomal RNA", at positions 496 to 795 of the family's 1533-position model. The record is from RNAcentral. Lineage: Bacteria; Bacillati; Actinomycetota; Actinomycetes; Micrococcales; Sanguibacteraceae.